GACGAACGCUGGCGGCGUGCUUAACACAUGCAAGUCGAACGGAAAGGCCCUGCUUUUGUGGGGUGCCCGAGUGGCAAACGGGUGAGUAACACGUGAGUAACCUGCCCUUUACUUUGGGUUAACUUCAGGAAACUGGGGCUAAUACCGGUUAGGAGCUCCUGCUGCAUGGUGGGGGUGGGAAAUUUUCGGCGGUUGGGGAUGGACUCGCGGCUUAUCAGCUUGUUGGUGGGGGAGUGGCUUACCAAGGCUUUGACGGGUAGCCGGCCUGAGAGGGUGACCGGCCACAUUGGGACUGAGAUACGGCCCAGACUCCUACGGGAGGCAGCAGUGGGGAAUAUUGCACAAUGGGCGGAAGCCUGAUGCAGCAACGCCGCGUGCGGGAUGACGGCCUUCGGGUUGUAAACCGCUUUCGCCUGUGACGAAGCGUGAGUGACGGUAAUGGGUAAAGAAGCACCGGCUAACUACGUG
This 468-nucleotide ribosomal RNA is filed under the name uncultured bacterium. RNAcentral describes it as "partial 16S ribosomal RNA". It matches the Rfam family "Bacterial small subunit ribosomal RNA", at positions 28 to 507 of the family's 1533-position model. The record is from RNAcentral.